Sinocyclocheilus grahami is the source of this 308-nucleotide long non-coding RNA. RefSeq lists it as uncharacterized. Lineage: Eukaryota; Metazoa; Chordata; Actinopteri; Cypriniformes; Cyprinidae. The record is from RefSeq and is a predicted model, not a curated record. The transcript is spliced from 3 exons.
CGCUCGAGUGAAUGCUGAAAGAGGCGCGAUCGAGACUCAGUUACCUGCCGCGCGACUGCAAACCAGUCUCUGCGCACAUUCAGCGGUUUAUUUAUUUCUAAUAGCAAGUUUGAUACGUGGUUUAUUUCGUCCGCACGUUUCCAGUAAGCCUCACAGCCGAAAUGGAUGGCGAUUCGCUGUUUGGUGUCUCGGGUCUGAUCAUGGAGACGAAUCAGAUCCUCUCAGAUCAGCAGAUGGACGCUGGAUCCAGCGUAACGUGGAGAGUGCAGCCUGAUGGGCAGAUCUUCCAGCGGCAGGAACGUAACACA